AGUCCAUACCGUAAACGAUGGGUGCUAGUUGUUAAGAGGUUUCCGCCUCCUAGUGACGUAGCAAACGCAUUAAGCACCCCGCCUGAGGAGUACGGCCGCAAGGCUAAAACUUAAAGGAAUUGACGGGGACCCGCACAAGCGGUGGAGCAUGUGGUUUAAUUCGAAGAUACGCGAAAAACCUUACCAGGUCUUGACAUACCAAUGAUCGCUUUUGUAAUGAAAGCUUUUCUUCGGAACAUUGGAUACAGGUGGUGCAUGGUCGUCGUCAGCUCGUGUCGUGAGAUGUUGGGUUAAGUCCCGCAACGAGCGCAACCCUUGUUAUUAGUUGCCAGCAUUUAGUUGGGCACUCUAAUGAGACUGCCGGUGAUAAACCGGAGGAAGGUGGGGACGACGUCAGAUCAUCAUGCCCCUUAUGACCUGGGCAACACACGUGCUACAAUGGGAAGUACAACGAGUCGCAAACCGGCGACGGUAAGCUAAUCUCUUAAAACUUCUCUCAGUUCGGACUGGAGUCUGCAACUCGACUCCACGAAGGCGGAAUCGCUAGUAAUCGCGAAUCAGCAUGUCGCGGUGAAUACGUUCCCGGGUCUUGUACACACCGCCCGUCAAAUCAUGGGAGUCGGAAGUACCCAAAGUCGCUUGGCUAACUUUUAGAGGCCGGUGCCUAAGGUAAAAUCGAUGACUGGGAUUAAGUCGUAACAAGGUAGCCGUAGGAGAACCUGCGGCUGGAUCACCUCCUUUCUAAGGA
This 748-nucleotide ribosomal RNA is filed under the name Oenococcus oeni. RNAcentral's name for it is "bacterial SSU rRNA". It matches the Rfam family "Bacterial small subunit ribosomal RNA", at positions 792 to 1533 of the family's 1533-position model. Lineage: Bacteria; Bacillati; Bacillota; Bacilli; Lactobacillales; Lactobacillaceae. The record is from RNAcentral.